RNAcentral lists this ribosomal RNA (325 nucleotides) under uncultured eukaryote. RNAcentral's name for it is "partial 18S ribosomal RNA". It matches the Rfam family "Eukaryotic small subunit ribosomal RNA", at positions 1470 to 1796 of the family's 1831-position model. The record is from RNAcentral.
CCCUUAGAUGUUCUGGGCUGCACGCGCGCUACACUGAAGCGUUCAACGAGUAUUCACCUUGCCCGGGAGGGUUGGGUAAUCUUUUGAAAACGCUUCGUGAUGGGGAUAGAUUAUUGCAAUUAUUAAUCUUCAACGAGGAAUUCCUAGUAAGCGCGAGUCAUCAGCUCGUGCUGAUUACGUCCCUGCCCUUUGUACACACCGCCCGUCGCUCCUACCGAUUGAGUGAUCUGGUGAAUAAUUCGGACUGCAGCACUGCUUGGUCUCCAGGCUUUGCAGCGGAAAGUUUAGUGAACCUUAUCACUUAGAGGAAGGAGAAGUCGUAACA